CAUGACGGGCGCGGGCCGGUGAGAGUAGCUUCGGGCUGAGAAUACACCAGUUUACGUUGGUGAGGUAUCAACACCACAUCCAUAACACUCCAACGAUGCAAUUGACGACGGACAUGAACGUUUCUAAUGUGAUCGAGCAGAUGUCGUUCAUGGAUUCAUCUCACUUGAAAAAACUGCUCCUGUCGCAGCCAGAUCUACUGACCGUGAAAUAUGGAGGAAAAUCGGCUCUGCACUGUGCAAUUCUCUCAGGGAAUUUGGCUGCAGUGCAAGGUGUCCUAGGAAAUGCUGGAUAUUCAGAUGAAGCUGAUCCUGCAGGUCAGACACCACUAUUUGCAGCUUGUUUGAGUGGUCAGUUGUGGACCAUUGGCCAGCUGAUUGCAUCUGGGGCUGAUGUUGAGUGCAGAGAUGCUCAUGGUGCCAGCUGUGUCCAUGCAGCUGCCCAGAAUGGCCAUCUCACGGUGCUGCAGUACCUGGAGACAGUGGUGGGGGCGCCGCUAUCAGCGGUGGACGCGGACGGCCGCACGCCGCUGAUGAUGGCCGCCGGCGCUGGGCACGCCGCCACUGUCCAGUACCUGCUGGAGAGGGCCAGGCCGUCCCUGCUGGCGGCCGACCGGCGGGG
Molecule: long non-coding RNA, 619 nt
Filed under: Pollicipes pollicipes
Lineage: Eukaryota; Metazoa; Arthropoda; Thecostraca; Pollicipedomorpha; Pollicipedidae
Description: uncharacterized LOC119112995
Source: RNAcentral